UAGAGCAUUGAAUAUGGGUACUGAUCAGCAGAUUGCAGUGAUCUAUGGUAGCUGAUUAUUGCUCUUUUCUGUAAUCAUCUCCAUCUAUAUGUUUUGAAGAAGAAAAUGUCAAACUAUCAUCUCGGAUAUAUCAUCAUGAUAAUGUUGAUGGGGUUAAAACAUUGUGUCUUCAAGAUAUCGAUGGCCAUGAUCUUAUGGCCGUGAUCUUAGGGAUGAUGAGGAUCACGCUUAUUGAAAGGUCAAAUUGAGCGCUGAAGAUGUUCGAGGGACAAACCUUUUGACCAUGCAAUUUCUGGGGAAUUGAUUUUACAACAGACCGACAAGUUGAGGUCUUUGGUAAGGGAAUGGUAGGCAAUGAUUGAGCCUCAUGUGGAUGUGAAGACCACCGACAACUACAGUUUGAGUAUGUUUUACUUGAAUUUACUAAGUGAAGAGGAUAUAGCUGUUAUGCGAAAUCUAUGAGCCAAAUGUGUAUAUAUAUAUAUUCGAAAAAGAGAUGGAGAAGGUAACCUCGAUCGAGUGCAUCUACCCUCUACCCAUGCAAUGUGUAUAUUCAGAAAGUUAGGAUCUUGAAAGCUCCAAAAUUAGAUUUUGGAAAGUUGGUAGUGACUAUUAUGAUGAUAUAUUGGUGUCAAUUAGUUGGAGAGGCUAGCCGACGAGACUAUGAUGGAGGUGGCUAUUGAACUACUAGGUGUUCUAUGCCCAUACAACUUGAUCAAGUGUACCAGCUCUCCAUCGUCCAUGCUUGCUGUUGGUAAACACUUGCUGCUAGAGCAUCCAAUUGUCAAGAUUUGUGGUUACUUGUCGUCUGAAGUCUCACCUAUAAAAGGAGAUAAUUUCCAAUGCAAUGUGUCGUGGAGAGGGGGGAAAAAUACAAGAAGGGCUUAGUGAAUAAGAGUUGAAAAGAGAAAGAAAGAGAGAGCCAGGGUGAGCUUUGAAAAAAAAAAAAAAGAGAUUUGAAUUGAGUGGAGUGUGAUCCUUCUCUUUUAUAAUAUUUUGUGUUCUACUAUUUAAUAGUGAAGCUCUUUCUCUGUGGACAUAGGGAGUUGCCAAACCACAUUAAA
Carya illinoinensis is the source of this 1064-nucleotide long non-coding RNA. RefSeq lists it as uncharacterized. The record is from RefSeq and is a predicted model, not a curated record. The transcript has 2 exons. NCBI's taxonomy places the organism in Eukaryota, Viridiplantae, Streptophyta, Magnoliopsida, Fagales, Juglandaceae.